This 1496-nucleotide unclassified non-coding RNA is filed under the name uncultured fungus. RNAcentral's name for it is "sequence contains 18S rRNA gene, ITS1, 5.8S rRNA gene, ITS2, 28S rRNA gene". The stretch from base 450 to 1496 matches the Rfam family "Eukaryotic large subunit ribosomal RNA", at positions 1 to 961 of the family's 3401-position model. The record is from RNAcentral. Lineage: Eukaryota; Fungi.
GGAAGGAUCAUUCACACUAUUCCAAUUAACCUUUUGUGAACCAUGAAAAGUACCUUUUUUAAACAUUUAUAUAAAAUUCCAAUUAAAUAGCGAAAUAAAAAUCCAUGAACAACUGCUAACAACGGAUGUCUUGGUUCUCGCAACGAUGAAGAACGCAGCGAAAUGCGAUACGUAAUGUGAAUUGCAGAUCAGUGAAUCAUCGAAUCUUUGAACGCAAGUGGCGCUCUAGGGUAUUCCUUGGAGCAUGCCUGUUUGAGUGUCAACAAAACACUGAUCCAAACAAUUCUUUUAUUAGAACUGUGAGGAUCGAUAUUGAGUGUCAAAGCUCUGCUUUGUCGCUUUAAAAGCAUUGACAACCAAGUUGAUAUAUCAACGCAAUUGGUAAAUUCAUUUAUUUAAUUGUGGAGUAAUCAGCUGACAAGUCAAAAGAUUUAAUUUUUAAUUAGAUUUGACCUCAAAUCAGACAAGACUACCCGCCGAAUUUAAGCAUAUAACUAAGCGGAGGAAAAGAAACUAACAAGGAUUCCCCUAGUAACGGCGAGUGAAGCGGGAAAAGCUCAACCCUUUAAUCUGAACUUUUCAAGUUCCGAGUUGUGGGCUAGAGAAGAGCGCAUUGACUUUUGUUUGAUAAAAGUCUCUUGGAAGAGAGCAUCAAAGAGGGUGAUAAUCCCGUCCUUGGUCAUUCAAACGUCAUUUUUGUGCUUUUUCUUAGAGUCGAGUUGUUUGGGAAUGCAGCUCUAAUUGGGUGGUAAAUUUCAUCUAAAGCUAAAUAUAGGCGAGAGACCGAUAGCGAACAAGUACCGUGAGGGAAAGAUGAAAAGUACUUUGAAAAGAGAGUCAAAAGGACCUGAAAUUGUUAGCAGGGAACCGUUUGAAGCGAGUGAUGCACUUUUGUAAAUCAGUCUUUGGACUUGUCCAAGGAUGCACUUUGCUUUGUGCUUGUCAGCAUCAGUUGCGAUCGUAGUAUAGUGCCGCAAGGAAGGUAGGUACCCUCGGGUAUUGUUAUAGCCUUGCGUGUCAAAGUAUUGUUGCGACUGAGGGAUUUUGCACUGCACGUUCCAACAUGGGCCUUUGUAUGCCUCUUCUUGCUCAUUGUAGAACAGCUUGCUGGGCUGCUUUGAUCAGGGUCUGGUGUAUGAUACGCUUAUUUGUGCAGUCAAGAUGUUGACGAAAUCGCUUCAACCGACCCGUCUUGAAACACGGACCAAGGAGUCUAACAUGUGUGCGAGUAUUUUGGUGUUAAACCACAAUGCGCAAUGAAAGUGAUCAGUACCAAGGCGCAAGCCCUCAGUACUGGCCAACCAACGAGUUUUCACUUUUUGGAUUGAGUCUGAGCAUACAUGCUGGGACCCGAAAGAUGGUGAACUAUGCCUGAAUAGGAUGAAGCCAGAGGAAACUCUGGUGGAGGUCCGAAGCGGUUCUGACGUGCAAAUCGAUCGUCAAAUUUGGGUAUAGGGGCGAAAGACUAAUCGAACCAUCUAGUAGCUGGUUCCCUC